RNAcentral lists this long non-coding RNA (595 nucleotides) under Rattus norvegicus (Norway rat). RNAcentral's name for it is "long non-coding RNA NONRATT002830". Lineage: Eukaryota; Metazoa; Chordata; Mammalia; Rodentia; Muridae. The record is from RNAcentral.
GCGGGAAGCAUCAGCAGCCUGAUCACAUGCUACCUAGUCUAAUGCAGACGGGAUAGGGGUGUGUGUGGGGAGGGGGCUCUAUGGCAACUAUUCUUGCUUGAACGCUGCCAAAAGUACAGAGGCAGCAGCUGCAGCAUAUAGCCAGCUUGGAUGUCUUGCCCCAGAACCUGAGGAAACUAAUAUUGGUGGUAUUUAUUGUUGAUAGUAUUGAGAAAAACAACCCUUAACUCUAGGGGUUUGUUUUGCUGUUCUCCUUCCCAAAACAGACUUCCAGGACUCUGAAGAAGCAAUUACAAGCAGGAUGCUUUUCCCCACCUCUGCGCAAGAAUCUCCCCGCGGCCUCCCAGAUGCAAACGGUUUGUGCCUUGGCCUGCAGUCACUCAGUCUGACUGGCUGGGACCGACCCUGGAGCACCCAGGACUCAGACUCCUCAGCCCAGAGCAACACACAGUCAGUAUUAAGCAUGCUCCAAAAUCCACUGGGAAAUGUCUUAGGAAAAACCCCCUUGAGCUUCCUGUCUCUGGAUCCCCUUGGGUCUGACUUGGACAAGUUCCCAGCGCCCUCAGUUAGAGGAUCUCGCCUGGACACCCGGCCU